RNAcentral lists this ribosomal RNA (443 nucleotides) under uncultured bacterium. RNAcentral describes it as "partial 16S ribosomal RNA". It matches the Rfam family "Bacterial small subunit ribosomal RNA", at positions 338 to 795 of the family's 1533-position model. The record is from RNAcentral.
CCUACGGGAGGCAGCAGUGGGGAAUAUUGGGCAAUGGGCGCAAGCCUGACCCAGCAACGCCGCGUGAAGGAAGAAGGCCCUCGGGUUGUAAACUUCUUUUGUCAGGGACGAAGCAAGUGACGGUACCUGACGAAUAAGCCACGGCUAACUACGUGCCAGCAGCCGCGGUAAUACGUAGGUGGCAAGCGUUAUCCGGAUUUCCUGGGUGUAAAGGGCGUGUAGGCGGGGAAGCAAGUCAGAUGUGAAAUUCCAGGGCUCAACCCUGGAGCGGCAUUUGACACUGUUUUUCUUGAGUGAUGGAGAGGCAGGCGGAAUGCCGUGUGUAGCGGUGAAAUGCGUAGAUAUACGGCGGAACACCAGUGGCGAAGGCAGCCUGCUGGACAUUAACUGACGCUGAGGCGCGAAAGCGUGGGGAGCGAACAGGAUUAGAUACCCCAGUAGUC